This 74-nucleotide microRNA precursor is filed under the name Tursiops truncatus (common bottlenose dolphin). RNAcentral describes it as "miRNA (ENSTTRG00000024353.1)". Lineage: Eukaryota; Metazoa; Chordata; Mammalia; Artiodactyla; Delphinidae. The record is from RNAcentral.
ACCAAACAUCCUGGUUUUCCUGGGACUGAGGGAUUUCCAAGGCUGUGGAGCUUUCAGUGGUAAAACUGGGAAAG